This 116-nucleotide ribosomal RNA is filed under the name Pteropus alecto (black flying fox). Lineage: Eukaryota; Metazoa; Chordata; Mammalia; Chiroptera; Pteropodidae. The record is from RNAcentral.
GUCUACGGUCAUGCCACCCUGAACAAGCCCAAUGUCUGAUCUUGGAAGCUAAGCAGGGUCAGGCCUGGUUAGUACUUGGAUGGGAGAUCACCUAGGAAGACCAGGUACUGGAGGCA